UCUCUGCAAAAGCACGAUAGUUUCAACUGUGUAACCCACGAUUUUGUAUAAUGGGUAGCAACUGUUCAAAACUGUAAAUAUAUAUUUCUUCCACAACUACACGUUCUUCAAUUCUAAUGUUCCUUCUUCUAUCAAGAUUUCAAGAAAACUUACGUCUUAUACAAAAGAUGGCUACUCACAUGAUUUCAUCAAGGAUAUAACAAUUUCGAAGAUGCAAUGGAAGUUGAAAGUUCGUGUUGUCCGUUUGUGGGAAGUACCGGAUCGUUUUAAUCCAGGCACCAUAUUCUCGAUUGAAUUGGUUCUACAAGAUGAAAAGGGGCUUCAAGAAUUAAUGGUGCUGAUGUGAAUGCAAGCAGAUUUGAGCUAGGCCGCAGAAGAAACAAGCGUUGAAGGUUCUUCAAGAAUUAUUGGUGGUGAUUUGAAUACUAGCAAUUUGAGCUAGGUGAAAUAUCUAAAUUUGUGUGCUCUUACUUGAACAUUAGAAUUUUCAAUUUUUCUAUCUAUUGACCUUUGUUUCAAUCCUUAGUCAUCCUCUUAUUUAAAAAA
This is a long non-coding RNA of Nicotiana attenuata, 546 nucleotides long. RefSeq lists it as uncharacterized. The transcript has 3 exons. NCBI's taxonomy places the organism in Eukaryota, Viridiplantae, Streptophyta, Magnoliopsida, Solanales, Solanaceae. The record is from RefSeq and is a predicted model, not a curated record.